UUAAGUUCAGCGGGUAUCCCUACCUGAUCCGAGGUCAAACCUUAAAAAAAAUGGUUGGUUGUUCGGCGGGUAGAACUCAGACCUCCAAAGCGGAAUAUAAAAUGACUACGCUAGGAGCUGGGCGCUACUGCCUAUGAGUCCAGGCACGUCCAUUAACGGACGAAGCCCAAUACCAAGCUGAAGCUUGAGGGUUGAAAUGA
This 200-nucleotide unclassified non-coding RNA is filed under the name Acanthostigma sp. Its description in RNAcentral is "partial internal transcribed spacer 2". The record is from RNAcentral. Lineage: Eukaryota; Fungi; Ascomycota; Dothideomycetes; Tubeufiales; Tubeufiaceae.